This 429-nucleotide ribosomal RNA is filed under the name Pseudomonadota bacterium. RNAcentral describes it as "Proteobacteria bacterium partial 16S ribosomal RNA". It matches the Rfam family "Bacterial small subunit ribosomal RNA", at positions 355 to 776 of the family's 1533-position model. Lineage: Bacteria; Pseudomonadati; Pseudomonadota. The record is from RNAcentral.
UGGGGAAUAUUGGACAAUGGGCGAAAGCCUGAUCCAGCCAUGCCGCGUGUGUGAAGAAGGUCUUCGGAUUGUAAAGCACUUUAAGUUGGGAGGAAGGGCAGUAAGCGAAUACCUUGCUGUUUUGACGUUACCGACAGAAUAAGCACCGGCUAACUCUGUGCCAGCAGCCGCGGUAAUACAGAGGGUGCAAGCGUUAAUCGGAUUUACUGGGCGUAAAGCGUGCGUAGGCGGCUAAUUGAGUCGGAUGUGAAAUCCCCGAGCUUAACUUGGGAAUUGCAUUCGAUACUGGUUAGCUAGAGUGUGGGAGAGGAUGGUAGAAUUCCAGGUGUAGCGGUGAAAUGCGUAGAUAUAGGAAGGAACACCAGUGGCGAAGGCGACCACCUGGGCUCAUACUGACACUGAGGUGCGAAAGCGUGGGGAGCAAACAGG